Nomia melanderi (Alkali bee) is the source of this 1903-nucleotide RNA transcript. It is a transcript of the gene named cornichon-like protein, with no coding region annotated. The record is from RefSeq and is a predicted model, not a curated record. Lineage: Eukaryota; Metazoa; Arthropoda; Insecta; Hymenoptera; Halictidae.
UUCACCGAGUUGUAAACUUCGUAAAACGAUCCCAAUAGUUGGUAGUUCCGUGAGUUGUUCAUUUUGUUGAUUUUAACAAUCGGUCAUAUUCAGUUUUCUCUUAGGUUUACUGAAAUCUUCACGUGUAAAGCGUUUGGAGUGUACUGUUACACAAGGAAAAUACCUAUGAAUCAUCAGAUUUCAUCCUAAUGCGAUUUAACAUCCACUCAUACUGAUAGUUCAUCAGAAUGGGUCUAAUACCCGAGCCGCUAUUGUUCGUACUAGCUUUGAUCGAUACCGGUUCAGUACUUUUCCUUUUGGUGUAUUUUCUCAUAACUAUAUCGGACUUAGAAUGUGACUAUUUAAAUGCUCAGCAGUGUUGUUCAAAGCUUAAUACGUGGGUAGUACCAAAGCUUGUAGCACAUGUAUUCUUAGAAUUCCUGUUGCUAACGCAUGGCCAGUUAAUAUUAUGGCUGGUAAACUUACCUAUGACACUAUGGUUACUCUACGAAUAUUUCGGAGUACCCAAAGGUAAUAUGGGAGUUUAUGAUCCUACAGAAAUUCACAAUCGUGGCCAGUUAAAAAGGCACACAAGAGAUUGUAUGAUUUAUCUCGGAUAUUAUCUUAUAUUCUUUUUUAUUUAUCUUUAUUGCAUGAUUAUCGCGUUACUGAAAGGAGAUCCGAUCAGGAGAAAUGAAGAAGAUUUGGUGGAAUCAUAAUACAUAUAGCAACGCUAGUAAUAAUAUUUAACUUUUAUAUUCUUCUCUGUUUUACUUUGGUUCUCCACGUUAAGAAGAAUAUUAAAUGUUUCGGCGCAACUUUCCAAAUUAUAACUUGAGCGCCACGGUAUCGUCGGAGUGUAGUGAAGUACUGAAUAGCUCGUUAAUUCACCGAGCGUUAAAUCAAAUUGACUCGAGUUUAAUGGGCGCGGGACAACAAGAUCGGAUCGAUUUAAUGAACUCGUUGCAGUUGAUUAGUUUUUUCUGCGUAGAGGGUGUAUAUCUAUUUUUAUCCGAGUUCAAAAUUAGAAGGUAAUAAAAUAAUACGACCAGGUUUAUGAAACUUCUCAGACUAAGCACAAACGGUCGAUUUCUCUUUGACUAUACCAUGUAUUUUACGACACUCUGAAUAUGUUCUAAAGAUUAUUUAAUACGUAACGGAUGCGCAAAGUAUGCGGGAAGUGAAAUCUUCGAUUUCCAUUGAACGUCAUGAGUCGUCAACGAGGAAUAUUUCGAAACCAAAAGCGAGAGGUGAUAUUAAAUACUGUUCCGCCUGUACGUUACGGGUCACGAUUGACCCGUUACCGACCUUCCAUUGCGUUGUUAUUAAACUAUCGGCUCUCCGAGGGUUAAAUGCAAUGAAGGCAGAAAUAUUCUCAGCGAGCGUUGUAUAUACGAUCAGAAUAGAAGAUCGUUAAGUAGCGGAUAUUCAUUGAAUAUCAGGGUUCGCCGCGUUAAAAUCAAUUUGAGCGCGAUGAGGCGCACGUGUAGUGCGUUCCACAACUGGAUAAAAUUUCGUGGAAACAUCUUUCGAAUAUCGUUCGAACUGUUCAUUCCACGGAAUCGAAAAUUAGAUACGUCUCGCGAUAGAGAACGAAAAUUCCAAAAAACGAACGGAACGUUUUGUCAUAAAUUAUGAUAUACAUGUACGCGAUAAAAGCGAGCCGAGGUAGAAAAUAGUAUUACGGCGCAAGAAACCAUAACAUUUGCUACAGUAAAUUUAUUUUUAGUUUAACUAGGAGUACUCGCGUGUAUCAACGUACAGCGUCCAGAAUUUUCAUCGUUCGAGUAAUAUAAUUCGGUGAAGCUAAGCAGAUGCGUUUCAAAGUAAUGGUAAAAAUAUUUUCAGUAUUCCCCGAGUAAAAUCCUACCUUUAAGUACCGUCUUAAUGAACUUAUCGCAAAAUGUAUAUUACAUUUUUUCGA